This 373-nucleotide ribosomal RNA is filed under the name uncultured organism. Its description in RNAcentral is "partial 16S ribosomal RNA". It matches the Rfam family "Bacterial small subunit ribosomal RNA", at positions 527 to 896 of the family's 1533-position model. The record is from RNAcentral.
GUAGGUGGCAAGCGUUGUCCGGAAUUAUUGGGCGUAAAGCGCGCGCAGGCGGUUUUUUAAGUCUGAUGUGAAAGCCCACGGCUCAACCGUGGAGGGUCAUUGGAAACUGAAGAACUUGAGUACAGAAGAGGAAAGCGGAAUUCCACGUGUAGCGGUGAAAUGCGUAGAGAUGUGGAGGAACACCAGUGGCGAAGGCGGCUUUCUGGUCUGUAACUGACGCUGAGGCGCGAAAGCGUGGGGAGCAAACAGGGAUUAGAUACCCUGGUAGUCCACGCCGUAAACGAUGAGUGCUAAGUGUUAGGGGGUUUCCCGCCCCUUAGUGCUGCAGCUAACGCAUUAAGCACUCCGCCUGGGGAGUACGGCCGCAAGGCUG